AUACUUACCUGGCGGGGAGAUACAAUGAUCACAAGUGGUACCCAGGGCGAGGCUCGGCCAUUGCACUUCGUCAUUGUGACCCCUGCGAAUUCCCCAAUGUUUCGCGGAACUCGACCGCCUAAGUUCUGUUAGUGGGGACCUGCGUUCGCCCGCUCGCCCGGU
Small nuclear RNA from Anguilla rostrata (American eel), 162 nucleotides. RefSeq annotates it as U1 spliceosomal RNA. The transcript has a single exon. Lineage: Eukaryota; Metazoa; Chordata; Actinopteri; Anguilliformes; Anguillidae. The record is from RefSeq and is a predicted model, not a curated record.